RNAcentral lists this transfer RNA (68 nucleotides) under Pampus minor. Its description in RNAcentral is "tRNA-Pro". The record is from RNAcentral. Lineage: Eukaryota; Metazoa; Chordata; Actinopteri; Scombriformes; Stromateidae.
CAAAGAAUAGUUUAAUUUAGAAUUCUGGCUUUGGGGGCCAGAGGUAGGAGUUAGAUUCUGUUGUUUGG